GAUGAACGCUGGCGGCGUGCCUAAUACAUGCAAGUAGAACGCUGAAGCUUGGUGCUUGCACCGAGCGGAUGAGUUGCGAACGGGUGAGUAACGCGUAGGUAACCUGCCUCUUAGCGGGGGAUAACUAUUGGAAACGAUAGCUAAUACCGCAUAAAAGUCGACAUUGCAUGAUGUUGACUUGAAAGGUGCAAAUGCAUCACUAAGAGAUGGACCUGCGUUGUAUUAGCUAGUUGGUGAGGUAACGGCUCACCAAGGCGACGAUACAUAGCCGACCUGAGAGGGUGAUCGGCCACACUGGGACUGAGACACGGCCCAGACUCCUACGGGAGGCAGCAGUAGGGAAUCUUCGGCGAUGGGGGCAACCCUGACCGAGCAACGCCGCGUGAGUGAAGAAGGUUUUCGGAUCGUAAAGCUCUGUUGUAAGAGAAGAACGAGUGUGAGAGUGGAAAGUCACACUGUGACG
RNAcentral lists this ribosomal RNA (463 nucleotides) under Streptococcus parasanguinis. RNAcentral describes it as "bacterial SSU rRNA". It matches the Rfam family "Bacterial small subunit ribosomal RNA", at positions 28 to 474 of the family's 1533-position model. Lineage: Bacteria; Bacillati; Bacillota; Bacilli; Lactobacillales; Streptococcaceae. The record is from RNAcentral.